GGAAAGAGCUGAGGACAUGGAGCCCAUGGCGGCCAUCAUGGCAUCCAUAACGGAGCGCUGUAGAGCUAGGGAUUGGGCAUUGUCAGGUACUGACAUAGGGUCACCUGCGGAGGAAGGGGGCCAGAGCUGGCAGGGGAGUUAACCAAAGCAUGGGGUAUAUCCAUUUCCCCAGGGGGAAGGGGGGUGGCAGGCACUUUGGACUUGGGCAUAAUAAAAUUGCUGUGAGAUAUCCCAAUGACACCAAAUAUAAAAUAGUAAUAUAUGCUGCAGGGAGUUGAAAGCUAAAACGAAAAUGACAGGGAGAGAACAAGCUAGCAGGAGUAAUCACCCCAGACUAGCUAUACCUUAUUAGAGGGUAAAGAUAGGGAGCUCACCAGGGCCCAAACUGUCAAACAGGAAGAGGACAAUGGAGGCACAGACAGCCUGAGAAAGAUAAGGCAAACAGAGAAAAAAGAUAAGAGCAACAGGGGAAGCUCAAGUGAUAGGGAUACUGAUAAUAAUACCCUAAAGAGGUCUGGAACCAUGGGCUCAAAGGAUUACACAAUAUAAAAAUCAACAAUAGGAUAAAA
Molecule: non-coding RNA, 569 nt
Organism: Pelobates cultripes (western spadefoot toad)
Lineage: Eukaryota; Metazoa; Chordata; Amphibia; Anura; Pelobatidae
Source: the annotation of a GenBank genome assembly